UAAACUUAAAGAUUUUGGCGGUGUCUUAUCAGCCCAGGGGAACCUGUCUCAUAAUUCGAUAACCCACGAAUGCCCCACCCUCCCUAGAUUAACCAGCUUGUGUACUGCCGUCGUAAGCACACCUCUAAAAGUUAGAGAAGUAUGCAAUAACG
RNAcentral lists this ribosomal RNA (152 nucleotides) under Lumbricus castaneus. Its description in RNAcentral is "partial 12S ribosomal RNA". Lineage: Eukaryota; Metazoa; Annelida; Clitellata; Crassiclitellata; Lumbricidae. The record is from RNAcentral.